UACGUAGGGGGCAAGCGUUGUCCGGAAUCAUUGGGCUUAAAGCGUGUGUAGGCGGAUCGGUAAGUACCUUGUGAAAUCCCACAGCUUAACUGUGGAACUGCUUGGUAUACUGCCAGUCUUGAGCCACUUAGGGGCUACCGGAACAAAUGGUGGAGCGGUGAAAUGCGUAGAUAUCAUUUGGAACGCCAAUGGUGAAAACAGGUAGCUGGGAGUGUGCUGACGCUGAGACACGAAAGCCAGGGGAGCAAACGGG
This 253-nucleotide ribosomal RNA is filed under the name uncultured bacterium. RNAcentral's name for it is "partial 16S ribosomal RNA". It matches the Rfam family "Bacterial small subunit ribosomal RNA", at positions 524 to 776 of the family's 1533-position model. The record is from RNAcentral.